Molecule: long non-coding RNA, 1983 nt
Filed under: Cottoperca gobio
Lineage: Eukaryota; Metazoa; Chordata; Actinopteri; Perciformes; Bovichtidae
Description: lncRNA (ENSCGOG00000016224.1)
Source: RNAcentral
CCCCUCUGUUGUUCAGCCCCUGACAGUGCACAUACCAUGCACACACACAUGCACACACAUGCACACGCACAUGCCGUAAAGCAGAGCUACACACCCCCUUCUAAUGAGAUCACCUUCACUACAGAGCAGUUGCAGCACACUGAAGCCCCCCUUGGCAUUUUCUGAAACUUUUUGAGCCGCCUAACUCAGGACCAAGACAUCCCAUCUGCACAUAGGUAGGAAUCAUUGGGUCUGUUUUAUGAAUUCAAUCUCAUAUGCUGGCUUUCUUCACAGAAAGACAAAUAUGUGACUUAAAGUACAUGAUGUUCCUUCUGGUCUUUGUGCACAUGGGCUCACAGGGAAGUGUGGAAUGAGCUUCCUAUUGAAGCACAUUUGUAUAUACUUCACACAGAAGUUUGUUGCUUAAAACAUCUUUAUGGAAUGAUUUGGAGUGCAUGAGCUUUAACUAAUAUUUUAUUGCUGCAUAAUAUAAUAUAACAUAUAUAUAGUAUCACUUUUACACUUUUUCCUCUUAAUCUAUGGCGCAAUUGGGUCUUAAUUUGUGUUAUCUUGUACGUCAUGCUAGAAAAUGUAUGCAUGAGAGUGCAUUAUUUUGUAGAAGAGGUGACAGGAGGAGGUUUUCCAGGAAGUUAAUUGGUUGACAGUUUAUGCUGAUGUAAUUUAGGCACAGCUCACUUGUUUCCCUCGUUGUGGAAUAUGAAUGAGUAGCUAGCACUAUUUUUGGAAAAAGCAGAUGCAAGUUAAUGUGAGUGGUCUCAAUAUCACACACAUGUUGAGCAGGGGUUAAAAAUACUUUAAAAAGAAGGUUGUUGUUCCCUUUUGCCUUGGCUACUAUUCAACACUUAGGAAACAGCCUGAGGUUGUGAGGCUCACACGAGUGCAUUCGCUCAGGACUACAUAUCCCAUAAAUCAUAGUUUCCAUUUAAUUAUCAGAGUCUUACCAGGUGUGUGCAGCGGGUCGCGACUCGCGAGCCUCAAAGCGCUGUCGGUACGCACGAGACAGGCAGAAAACAGGAACAGGACAGGACUCUCACCCUCAACACCACACAGCACCACCGCAGACAUGUCGGACUCCGAAACUGCCGCCGCCCCCGCCGAGGCGCCCGUCCCUGCUGCUUGUGCCAACAUCAAGGCUGACCUGGACAAAUGUGUGGCAGAGAAGGGAGCCGAGGGCUGCAAAGAUCUGCUUGAGGCCUUUGCUGCUUGUGUGAAGAGUGCGGCUGAGGGGACGUCAUGAGGAGUCGCCCUCCAUACUCAAAUGUCCACUUCACUGAGCCCUCCAAGUUCCCAGCAUUCCCUUCUGCACAACAGCACUGGACUGAAUGAUGACAACGAUGAUUAAGAUGAUGAUGGCGGGACAAACAUGGUGUUGAUUUGGGCUGAAUUUGGGAUGUGGUGGCAGUAACCACAGUUUCCUCCCCCUGUUGUUAUAGGUUUAUCUUGUGUCCCUCAGUCUUACCGUCAUUCCCCUUCUCCCUCUAACGCUGAUGAGCAGCACAUCGACUUGUAGACAAUUCCAGAGAGCUGAGCUGUAAUGUAAAUUGUCGACUCAAGAUGAAUACUUAUAAAUGGAAAUAAAAUAUCAAAUACUUGGUAUAAAAACAAAUUGAGUUUUAGUUUUUUUGGCCUCUAUUGUUUCACCAUUUGAAGGUUUGAUGUCUACUUUCUUGGAAGAUGGAUGUAUGAAGAAUGAAGAUGUAUGAACAAAUGAUGGUGUUGCCUUGUAUGUCUGAACCAUUUCAAUGUUUAAGUAUGAAUAUAUUUUAUUCCCACAAAUCAAAAGCAAACAAUUCUAAUUAUUUUGGCCUCGGGUUCACCCAAAGUCAUUACAAAAUAACUGGCUGGAAAUGUUUGUGCUCAUCCAAAGAUGGUAUCCAUGUCCCCAGGAUUAAAAUCCUCUUAAUGACACUUUAAGGAAACCUUUUCAAUCUUGUGUUCUCAAAUGUUUUUUUUCCCUUGGCCAAAUGUUCAAUGUGUUUCCCU